GCAUGGACUAUAGAAAGACAUUCCAUAUUUAAUGCCUCGCAAAUUUUAAUGUUCCUAAGAAUCAUCUGGGGAUCUUAUUAAAAUGCAGAGACUGACUCAGUACAUCUGAGAUGGCCUCAGAGAUUCUGCAUUUCUAACAAGCACUCAGGUGAUGUUGGUGCAGCUAAUCCACAGACCACACUUUGAGCAGCAAAGAUUUAAGUAGUGAUUUAUCUAAUUGUUUGGUUAUGACUGUGACUGUAGAGUCUAUGAGGUCUUAGUCCUGACUGGUCAUGGUUGUCUUUUAAUGAUGAUCUAGAAGCCUAUGAGAGAGGAGUUACCCAAUAUUAUUUUAUAUGUGUUUCUUCCCACAAACUCUCUUGAAAUAUGAAGGAUUAUAUAAUGCAUCAUAGGAAGAACUGUAAUGUGUAAUCCAUAAUCUAAAGUCUAAUCCAUAAUCCCACCGACUCUCCAGGUGAUUCCCAUUUAUACUUUGGCAAUCUUUAAGACAUUUGGGAGAAAUGGGUGAUCUGGGGGAGCAAAAAUUUGUUUUGUAAAUUCAAAAAAUAUUUCUGGUUUAGACUAAAAAAAGUUUUCAUGAUGAAGCCCACCUUAUACAUCUCUGGGAAGUCUCUUAAAGGUUUCCCUUUAGGGAAGGUAUUUAGUGAGAUCCAGGUGCUCGCCAUGAUCAACAGGUUGCCGUGGGAGCAUUCGCUGCACCGUUACUCAUCCGGUUAUGAGGUUUAACCUACCGACCAAUGUUGCCCGUACUAUCAUUUCAGUCAAACUUUGUGUGGAAGAGUAAAACUUAUUCCUGUCCUGGGAAAUGAAGUAAAAUGGAAUCCAGGAGUAAUUCUGACUAAAAGUCUGAGUUUACGAACUUCCAGUGCUGCAAAACUGACAAUCUGUGAGUUAAUCUUUAUUCUGCACCUUCAUACUUUCAGCCUUUCAUGAACUAGAUCGCUAUGCACAAAAGGUGUAUCAGCUAGCUCUGUCCAUCUGGAGAAGAAAAAAUUCCCGCUGCACUUCCUUCGUAGCGUGAUCCUUAUGAAUCUUAAUGUGGCUGAAGUUCCCACUCAGAUUUUGCUCCUGGAGCGUUUAAAUUCAACACUACUAUUUGAAGAUUAAACCACAGUGGAAAUAUUAAUGAUGUCUCUGUACUGAAAACAGCUUGGCAAUCUCUUAAAUUGAUAGGUUUCUAAAGAAACUCUCCAUUUCAAGUAAGGAUCUGAUAUUUGGAUCUCCUAAGCAGUCUGAAAUGUAGUUUACCUCCAUAGAUUGGCUAUCUAGGAGCUUGUAAACAAAUUCAUAAAUUUGUCAUGCUGAUUAUAGUGUUGGCAAACACAAUGGCUGAUCAUGUUAUAAAUGUUUAUCAACACCCGCACUCACCCACCUGCUAAGAGGUGCUACGCUUUAAUGAAAUUGUUUGAAUAUCAAGGCUGGUUGCUAAGAUACAAUGUUCUUGUUACUAGGGAUGUGAUGCUUGCAGAUUUCUGUUAUCAAAUAAUGAUUAGAGAUGUGCUAACCUCAAGGUGCUCAGUGCGGUGAAAGGUUUACCGAGCUACAAAUUAGUAAACUGUCUGCUUGAGCAGGCACUGGCAGAAGAAACAUGAGCCUCAUCCAUACACGACUGGCAUUUUAAAAGAAGACAAGAGAGGACGGGAGCAGGGCCAUAAAUGAUGGCUCCUUGAAAGUUUGCCAUGGAAGGUUUACCUACUCUAUGGCUCAGCGUGAUAUAUCUCUAGCCAGCCAGGGAAUUUGUUGAAAUCCAUUGCCAAUAACUCCUUCCUUUCUUAUGAAAAGACCAUUUUUUACAUUUCCUUUUAACUGAUUGUUAGGCAAUUAUUAACAUUAAACACACCACAUCUUUUUGUGAGAAAUAAAAGCACAUGAAAAUGUAAUCCUACAGAACAGAGGUGUAUUUUUAACAUGAACACAUUUUUAAGAUAAUGCCAGAUUUAAGAGAAUUCUUGGUAUAAAUGCCGUAUUUAGUAUGAUAAAUUUUGAAAAUGGUGCAAAAUUUUUUCUGUUUUUAUUUUAUAUUUUUAUUCUUCCAUUUUCUAGGAGAAUUCAAUCCCCCAGAAUAUUUAAUAUAAUAUAAAACAUCAUCAUGUAAGUGUCAGAAUGUUUCUUUUUAUUUUCACAUUAUCUCAAAAAAUACCAUGGAGAUGACCAAAGCUCUGUCGUCCACAUUAGGCUAAUUGUUCGUCUUGUUAAAGCAGAACCUGAGUUGCAGUAUCACACUUACAUUGGGGAUACUCUGAGCACAACAUUUUUACAGUGAAAACAUUUCCAUGAUUUUAUGACAGUCCCUGGAAUUCCCAAGUGCUCUACUCAUCACUAGUAAUAAUUCAGAAACGUGUAGGCAACUGUACUUCUGGUGUCAUGUAUAAUUUUUACUCUUGUUGCUUUAUAAGAAAUUUCAAUUAUUAGGAUCACAGAUCUGAUGGGUAUUAAAUUGACUCUUGAAAUUUCCCUUAAUAAAAAUUGAAAUUGUAGAUAUAUUUUAAUAAUGAAAGUGUUAAAAUGAUAUUCAGAUAUAACAUCUGGCCUUCCAUUAGAUCAUGAAUACUAUGAGAGCAGAUUCUGAGUCUGUUUUUGCUCAUCAGCAGGUAACCAUCCUCCAGAAGAGUGCCUGCACAAAUGAGGCACCUUAUGAAUGAAGGAAUGACAGCUAAAUCCAGAAAAUUUUGCUAGUAUCCAUAGCAGAUUCUUAGGAGUUUAAGAUUAGGUCUGAGCUAACAUCUGCACCAGUCUUCCUCCAUUUUUAUGUGGGACACUACUACAGCAUGGCUGAUGAGUGAUGUAUGUCCUUGCCUGUGAUAUGAACCCAUGAACCCAGGCCAGCAAAGGGGAGUGCACCAAACUCAACGACUACACCAUGGGGCCAGCCCCUCAAAUAAAGUGUUUUUAUGAAAAAAUAUUUUACAUGGUCAAAUUUGUUUUUUACUUAAUAUUUCAAAUAAAGUGCUUUUAUCAAAUAUUAUUUAGCUUAAAUACUCAUAUUCUAUCAUCUCUGAGAUGAAAUAUAUGCAUUAAUUUUAAGCCUUUGGUUUGGUUUGGAUAUUUGGGUA
This 3053-nucleotide long non-coding RNA is filed under the name Equus caballus (horse). Its description in RNAcentral is "lncRNA (ENSECAG00000035702.3)". Lineage: Eukaryota; Metazoa; Chordata; Mammalia; Perissodactyla; Equidae. The record is from RNAcentral.